Molecule: ribosomal RNA, 465 nt
Filed under: uncultured bacterium
Lineage: Bacteria
Description: partial 16S ribosomal RNA
Rfam family: Bacterial small subunit ribosomal RNA
Source: RNAcentral
CUACGGGCGGCUGCAGUGAGGAAUUUUGCGCAAUGGGGGAAACCCUGACGCAGCAACGCCGCGUGAGUGAAGAAGGCCCUUGGGUCGUAAAGCUCUGUCAAUGGGGAAGAAGUUACUUGGUAUUAAUAGUGCCUUGUAUUGACGGUACCCAUGAAGGAAGCACCGGCUAACUCCGUGCCAGCAGCCGCGGUAAUACGGGGGGUGCAAGCGUUAUUCGGAAUUAUUGGGCGUAAAGGGCACGCAGGCGGUCCUGUCAGUCAGAUGUGAAAGCCCGGGGCUCAACCCCGGACGUGCAUUUGAAACAGCAGGACUUGAGUACGGGAGAGGAAAGGGGAAUUCCUGGUGUAGAGGUGAAAUUCGUAGAUAUCAGGAGGAACACCGGUGGCGAAGGCGCCUUUCUGGACCGAUACUGACGCUGAGGUGCGAAGGCGUGGGUAGCGAACGGGAUUAGAUACCCGCGUAGUC